UAAUUUUUUCCAAGAGAUAAAAAUUCUUAAGUAACGUUUAAUUUUUUUUCUUUUUUCUUUUUUUUUUAAAGAUCGAAAUCUUUGAGAAUAUUAGAUGACGAAGAUGCUUUCGAGGGUACAUAAAAUGUGUACUCAAACUUAGACUUUAAUGCAAUCUUUCCUGAACGUUCCACGUUCCAUUACAAACAAAGUGGUUCUCGCGGGCUACUGCGAACCAAUUAAUUUUCCCCGCUAUAUUCGAAACGCGUUUCGGAUCGUCGUACCAUUGUAUUCUAGACAUCGGGCGAAUUACCUAUUCAACCAUUGUAUCUCAGACGCAAAUAGAACGUUCCGGGUUAUCUCGUGAAAUCUAUCGAACAAUAUUCCUCGAAAAGUACUUACGUCUCGGCGAAUACGCAAUUAAAUUCUUAACAAAAAUAUAUACAUAUAUAUAUAUAUCUUCGUCGUAAUCUCGACGAACGUGGAAUGAUGUACGCGUGCGAAAACCGCAUAUGUACUUUGCAACAUGAUGCUACAAUAAAAGAGUCUUACGUAAUAACGACGAUUACACGAGAGCUACCAGGACCUUCUUGCGUAAACCGCUUACGUGUUACCGGUUGGAAAAAUUCUCCUGUACGGUUUAAGACACACAACCGGGUGAAUUUUAUUGCCGACAUAACUUCGCUACAAUCCCCUUACUUUAUCACACCGGAUCACACCGAAAAACGACCCUACUCCUUUUCUUUACCUUCGCUCUUUCGUCUGUUCCAAUUGUAGGUAGAUACGUAUGUAUGUAUGUAUAUGUCUCUCUCGAGUCGCUGUGUUUCACGAGCAAGCGUUUUCUUCCUAAGAAAAGAAAUUCUUCCAAAGCUUCACUUCCAGGAAAACACGUUACGUAGCUAUUUUAUCUCAGUCAGUUCGAACAUACGCUCGCCUCGCGCCGCUAGUACGUAAUUCUUUGCAUGCUUCUCCGGUUGCAACGGUUUUUUUCCGAGGAAAUGGUAAACUUCGAGGGAAGUGGCGAUUUUCCUUUUUCCCCGACCCGAUCUUCUCGAUAUUUCUUGAUAUUCGGAUUUUGAGAUUAUCGUGGAAAAUAAUUUUAACAAUGAUCAGAUUUAAUUUCUUCUGAUUCAUAUAAUUAUUUCAGAUUCGAAAAAUAAGUACAUAAAAUAAAAUAUGUAAUACAAAUAGAAAAGAGUCUUUGGAAAGUGCACAAUUUCUUUUUUACGAAAUAUCAAAAUUUUAAAAGCUCUAUUACACUAGGUAUUUAAACUUCCUUCCCACGUAUCGUAAAAUUGUCUUGUCCUCCAGUCAACACGUUCAACGAUCGAGAAACGAAGCUAAUCCUAAGAAAAUAAAAUUCCCCUCUACAAAUCCCUCGAAAUCGAAUCAAACCGGGCAACGUUCGCCCUCACAAUUUCCUAUCCGAACGAUCCACGAAAUAAUCCGACGCGUACGUUCCAAGCAGAACCAAGAUUCUCCGUGUAUUUGGCCUUCUUCUAACCUCGACGCUCGGGCGAAACCAAAUUUUCCCCAGGGAGUGCAGCUUUAUCCAAUAUAUUGCACGAGAUUGCAUUCAAAACCAAAGUGAUUACCAGGGCGAUGAGAACGCACGGAUACAUGCAAUGCCUAUAUGCCUAUAUAGAGACUAUAGAGGAGAGAGACCUAAGACGUAUACCCACACACGAAGACACCAUAAUCAUCAGGAUUUAUGCGCAAGUGCCGUUUCUACGGUGAGUGCGAGACUCCGUGAAAGUUCCAUCGGCCCGUGAAAAAAUCGACAAAGAUAUUUCGAAUUCACUGGGCAAAUAGCUAUCGAGUACGAGGUAUAACGGCAUUAUCCUCUUAGCCGUAGGUUCAACACGGUAUCACAUUAUGCGUUAACUUUCAUUGAUGUGUGCAGGUGCGUGCAUAAAGAGAACUAACCUCUCACCGAUUCUAUGUAUCUCCCUCUUUCUCUCUCUGUCACUUUGACUCUUUUCAUCUCGUGUUGGCGCAUGUUUCAUACGCAUGCCCUCCCUCUUUCUCACUCUUUCUCUCUCGCUCCUUUAUCCCCCAGAUUCGUCGCGGUCCAGUCCUACGCGGUGCGUUAAUUUACACGUACACACGUGCGCAACAACUUGCAACCGAGGUUUGGACAUUUCGAAGGUAAACGUUAAUGCGUGCAAAUUAACCGAAAUUCGUAUUCGCACGCACGGAUAAAUCUGGUGCUAGUCGCGUCGUUCUCGCGAAAACAUGGCGGAUGCUUCGAUCGAAAUUGUGUUUUCACUCGGUCGGAAAUGUGGCGUUAGUAUCACGAAGUAUGUGUUGAAAAUUGUAAUCUAACCUAUUAUUUAUCUAAAAUCGCAUCUCUAUGUUACAAAAGUUAUUGAUUUGAAAUAUAUUUAUACAAUAUUUAGUAUUUCAUACGAUCAAUUAAUGUUCUACGACGAAACGAUCCGAAAUUUUAGGUUAAUGUCGUUUUCGUAAAGUGAAAAAGUUUACUUUUUUUGCGAUUCUAUGCGAUUUAAUGAAAUUUCUUGAUUUCGCGAAUGAACGUUGAAGUGAAAUUUGCAUUAGGAAAUGAUAAAGUUUGCUUCUCUAACGAAAUAGUCAGUGCUUUUGAAAGUUUCGUAUAAUCGAAGAACGAAUGUGCAGAGGAAAUAGUAACCCUCCACUGGGUAGGGUUACGAACACAAAAUGACUCGUACCUAUUGUUUUCAAGCGUCAUGCUUAUUUGAUUGAUUACAGCAUAAAUGUCUGAAACUUUGUAUUCAUAUAUGUACGUAUGUAUACACAAUGGAAUUACUUUUUACUUUUUAGAAUCAUUUUGUUGUAUACAUUCCACAUUAAGCAUUGAAAUUCCGCGUAGAAUUGAAAAUUGAAUUUAAUAUAUUAUAGUGCUCUAUAGUUUCGUUAUAUGAAAUUUGUGUAAAUUUUGCGAUAGAUUUAAUUGAUAUUAAUGCAAAAUAUGGUUUAAAAUUUAAUCAUCUAUAAAAUAUGUACGGUUGAGAAACGCAAUUUAGUAGAAUUUGGCAGAAAUAAAUUCGUACGCGUAUAUAAUAAAUACAAAGCUGUGGAUAAAAUCAUUUUGAAUAUAUAUUGGCGAAGAAAUUUUUUAUCCCGUUCAAAUAAAAAAAUCAACAGAGAUGUUUCUAUACAUUCUGAUGAAAAUAAAAAUGCAAAACCAUCCCGCUUUAAAUUGAUUAUCGAACGUGAACAUACUAACGAAAAGGCAAGAAGCGUUACAAAAUUAAUUUCCAUUUUAUAUACGUCCUCGCCGAAGUAGAAAAUUAAUUCUUUCAUUGCGCUCGCCACAUUUUCCAAAGAGUAGAUCUCUAACGCAUCCAGACUGUUAUAAAAAAAA
Molecule: long non-coding RNA, 3325 nt
Organism: Apis mellifera (honey bee)
Lineage: Eukaryota; Metazoa; Arthropoda; Insecta; Hymenoptera; Apidae
Exons: 2
Source: RefSeq, a predicted model, not a curated record